UGUGUUAUAAUGCUCCUCCCCCUAGUAAAGGUGUGUUAUAAUGCUCCUCCUCAGUAAAGGUGUGUUAUUAUAAUGCUCCUCCCCCUAGUAAAGGUGUUAUAAUGCUCCUCCCCCUAGUAAAGGUGUGUUAUAAUGCUCCUCCCCCUAGUAAAGGUGUGUUAUAAUGCCCCUCCCCCUAGUAAAGGUGUGUUAUAAUGCUCCUCCCCCUAGUAAAGGUGUGUUAUAAUGCUCCUCCCCCUAGUAAAUGUGUGUUAUAAUGCUCCUCCCCAUAGUAAAGGUGUGUUAUAAUGCUCCUCCCCCUAGUAAAGGUGUGUUAUUAUAAUGCUCCCCCUCAGUAAAGGUGUGUUAUUAUAAUGCUCCUCCCCCUAGUAAAGGUGUGUUAUAAUGCCCCUCCUCCCCCCAUGUAAAGGUGUGAUAUUAUAAUGCUCCUCCUCCCCCCUAGUAAAGGUGUGUUAUUAUAAUGCUCCCCCUCAGUAAAGGUGUGUUAUUAUAAUGCUCCUCCCCCUAGUAAAGGUGUGUUAUUAUAAUGCUCCUCCCCCUAGUAAAGGUGUGUUAUAAUGCUCCUCCCCCUAGUAAAGGUGUGUUAUAAUGCUCCUCCUCAGUAAAGGUGUGUUAUUAUAAUGCUCCUCCCCCUAGUAAAGGUGUUAUAAUGCUCCUCCCCCUAGUAAAGGUGUGUUAUAAUGCUCCUCCCCCUAGUAAAGGUGUGUUAUAAUGCCCCUCCCCCUAGUAAAGGUGUGUUAUAAUGCUCCUCCCCCUAGUAAAGGUGUGUUAUAAUGCUCCUCCCCCUAGUAAAGGUGUGUUAUAAUGCUCCUCCCCCUAGUAAAUGUGUGUUAUAAUGCUCCUCCCCCUAGUAAAGGUGUGUUAUAAUGCUCCUCCCCCUAGUAAAGGUGUGUUAUUAUAAUGCUCCCCCUCAGUAAAGGUGUGUUAUUAUAAUGCUCCUCCCCCUAGUAAAGGUGUGUUAUAAUGCCCCUCCUCCCCCCAUGUAAAGGUGUGAUAUUAUAAUGCUCCUCCUCCCCCCUAGUAAAGGUGUGUUAUUAUAAUGCUCCCCCUCAGUAAAGGUGUGUUAUUAUAAUGCUCCUCCCCCUAGUAAAGGUGUGUUAUAAUGCUCCUCCCCCUAGUAAAGGUGUGUUAUAAUGCUCCUCCUCAGUAAAGGUGUGUUAUUAUAAUGCUCCUCCCCCUAGUAAAGGUGUUAUAAUGCCCCUCCCCCUAGUAAAGGUGUGUUAUAAUGCUCCUCCCCCUAGUAAAGGUGUGUUAUUAUAAUGCUCCCCCUCAGUAAAGGUGUGUUAUUAUAAU
Molecule: long non-coding RNA, 1293 nt
Organism: Oncorhynchus keta (chum salmon)
Lineage: Eukaryota; Metazoa; Chordata; Actinopteri; Salmoniformes; Salmonidae
Exons: 6
Source: RefSeq, a predicted model, not a curated record